CCUACGGGCGGCAGCAGUGGGGAAUAUUGGACAAUGGGCGAAAGCCUGAUCCAGCCAUGCCGCGUGUGUGAAGAAGGCCUUCGGGUUGUAAAGCACUUUCAGUGGGGAAGAAAGCCUUGGGGCUAAUACCCUCGAGGAAGGACAUCACCCACAGAAGAAGCACCGGUUAACUCCGUGCCAGCAGCCGCGGUAAUACGGAGGGUGCGAGCGUUAAUCGGAAUUACUGGGCGUAAAGCGCGCGUAGGCGGUCUGAUAAGCCGGUUGUGAAAGCCCCGGGCUCAACCUGGGAACGGCAUCCGGAACUGUCAGGCUAGAGUGCAGGAGAGGAAGGUAGAAUUCCCGGUGUAGCGGUGAAAUGCGUAGAGAUCGGGAGGAAUACCAGUGGCGAAGGCGGCCUUCUGGACUGACACUGACGCUGAGGUGCGAAAGCGUGGGUAGCAAACAGGAUUAGAUACCCCAGUAGUC
RNAcentral lists this ribosomal RNA (465 nucleotides) under Vreelandella stevensii. Its description in RNAcentral is "partial 16S ribosomal RNA". It matches the Rfam family "Bacterial small subunit ribosomal RNA", at positions 338 to 795 of the family's 1533-position model. The record is from RNAcentral. Lineage: Bacteria; Pseudomonadati; Pseudomonadota; Gammaproteobacteria; Oceanospirillales; Halomonadaceae.